CAGUCGCCGCGGUAAUACGGAGGGUGCAAGCGUUAAUCGGAAUUACUGGGCGUAAAGCGUGCGUAGGCGGUUCGUUAAGUCUGUUGUGAAAGCCCCGGGCUCAACCUGGGAAUGGCAAUGGAUACUGGCGAGCUAGAGUAUGGCAGAGGGGGGUGGAAUUCCGCGUGUAGCAGUGAAAUGCGUAGAUAUGCGGAGGAACGCCGAUGGCGAAGGCAAUCCCCUGGACCUGUACUGACGCUCAUGCACGAAAGCGUGGGGAGCAAACAGGAUUAGAUACCCCUGUAGUCCCUGUCUCUUAUAC
Molecule: ribosomal RNA, 301 nt
Filed under: uncultured bacterium
Lineage: Bacteria
Description: partial 16S ribosomal RNA
Rfam family: Bacterial small subunit ribosomal RNA
Source: RNAcentral